RNAcentral lists this ribosomal RNA (489 nucleotides) under uncultured bacterium. RNAcentral's name for it is "bacterial SSU rRNA". It matches the Rfam family "Bacterial small subunit ribosomal RNA", at positions 29 to 507 of the family's 1533-position model. The record is from RNAcentral.
AUGAACGCUAGCUACAGGCCUAACACAUGCAAGUCGAGGGGCAGCGGGAGUGAAGCUUGCUUCACUCGCCGGCGACCGGCGCACUGGUGAGUAACGCGUAUGCGACCUGCCCGCGGCCGGGGGAUAAUCCAUAGAAAUGUGGUCUAAUACCCCAUAUGCCGGUCUUCUGCAUGGAGGACCGGUGAAAGGAGAGAUCCGGGCGCGGAUGGGCAUGCGUCUGAUUAGCUUGUUGGCGGGUAACGGCCCACCAAGGCUACGAUCAGUAGGGGUUCUGAGAGGAAGGUCCCCCACAUUGGAACUGAGACACGGUCCAAACUCCUACGGGAGGCAGCAGUGAGGAAUAUUGGUCAAUGGGCGAGAGCCUGAACCAGCCAAGUAGCGUGCAGGAUGACGGCCCUAUGGGUUGUAAACUGCUUUUAUAAGGGAAUAAAGUGAGCCUCGUGAGGCUUUUUGCAUGUACCUUAUGAAUAAGGACCGGCUAAUUCCGUG